UCAAGGAAGAAGAUUUGACGGUACUUGAGGAAUAAGCCCCGGGUAAUUCCGCGCCCGCAGCCGCGGUAAUACGGGAGUGGCAAGCCUUAUCCGGAAUUAUUGGGCGUAAAGCGUCCGCAGGCGGCCUUGAAAGUCUGUCGUUAAAGCGUGGAGCUUAACUCCAUUUCGGCGGGGGAAACUACAAGGCUUGAGUGGGGUAGGGGCAGAGGGAAUUCCCGGGGUAGCGGUGAAAUGGGUAGAUAUCGG
Molecule: ribosomal RNA, 246 nt
Filed under: uncultured Synechococcus sp.
Lineage: Bacteria; Bacillati; Cyanobacteriota; Cyanophyceae; Synechococcales; Synechococcaceae
Description: partial 16S ribosomal RNA
Rfam family: Bacterial small subunit ribosomal RNA
Source: RNAcentral